This is a non-coding RNA of Sturnus vulgaris (Common starling), 126 nucleotides long. NCBI's taxonomy places the organism in Eukaryota, Metazoa, Chordata, Aves, Passeriformes, Sturnidae. The record is from RefSeq and is a predicted model, not a curated record.
UCUUUCCUUAAUAACAGUUGGGUUUUGAUGCAAAUGAACUCAGCUCCUCUCUCUGUCACAGGAAUACAAGAAAGCUACAGAUUUGUGAAUGAGAGUUGAGCUGAAAAAUAAAUACGUAGUUAAAAA